CACUACCCUGCGGACCCUAUUUUCUUUUUUUCUUCUUUUUUACUUAUCAGGCUGCUAAGUAAAAUUGUGUGACUAGGCUAGGUGCUUGUCUAGAUCACGUAUACUAAUGAGUAAUCUAAUGCACAGGCGAGAGGCUCUGCUUGUAGCACAGACGCUACCAUAGUCCCGAGGCUAUGUCUGGCAAGACCAGAAGCUCUGCACCUAGCAGAUGCCGCCAUAGUCCCGAGGCACCGUCUGGCAAGGUACUUCGGGCAAAUCAACCCAUCUGAAGUGCGAUAC
This 279-nucleotide long non-coding RNA is filed under the name Ixodes scapularis (black-legged tick). RNAcentral's name for it is "uncharacterized LOC115309866, transcript variant X1". The record is from RNAcentral. Lineage: Eukaryota; Metazoa; Arthropoda; Arachnida; Ixodida; Ixodidae.